AGUGUAUAUUGUCAAAUUCAACGGGGUUAUAUUUCUAAUAUUUAGAAAUCAUAAACUGAUAAAUGAUACCUUCCAGCUCUGUUACAACUAUUAAAAAGCCAAUAUUUAGAAAUAAAAAAACUAAAAAAGGUAAAUAAUAUAUAUCUACCAAAUUAUUUGUUUUUGGUGUCGCCCGUUUAGACUGGAGUUGUUUCCCUUGCACUGUAAAGAAAUAAACAUUGUAGGUAAAUACUUGCAGCCGUGAAGCUACCACGUGGUAACCAUGUGCUUUAAGCAGACACGGCGAGGAGGCUGUGAGCAAACAGUUCCAGCCCUAACGGAUGAUUUAGCAGCCGUGAAUAGUAAUGAUAGACAAUAAUACUAUAAAUACAAGAUAUUUAGUGCUUUUACCAGAUAACCAUAUGGCACUGUCAUCAGCAAACUGUGACAUAGCACAGUACUUUAAAUUAUUGGAUAUAUCAUUCACCAUGAUGUUAAAUAGUGUAGGACUUAUACAACUACCCUGUGGUGUACCAUUCUGAAUUAUAAAUAUUUCAGAAUAUGGGAGGUUUUCUCUGACAUAUAUUGCUGUACCUCCAUGUGAUUUAGUAUUGCGUACAGAAAAAUCAGCCAAUUUAUAACCUAUUACAUGUGGAUGGUCUUGUUCGUUUUUGCACCAUGUUUCCUGGAAGCAAAUUAUAUCAGGCUUUAUUUGCGACAUAGCUAUAUACUCGGCAGCAUUAUUGUGAAUACCACGACAGUUCCAAUGAACAAUGCUAAACAUGAUGUUGUAUAUUAGUAAACUAGUAAAAUUAGCCAUUAUAAGCACAGAUAUAACAUAUAACAUUACUACUGUUACUAUUUUAUGAUUUGUAUAAUACAUUAUAGCAUUUC
Mytilus californianus (California mussel) is the source of this 873-nucleotide long non-coding RNA. RefSeq lists it as uncharacterized. NCBI's taxonomy places the organism in Eukaryota, Metazoa, Mollusca, Bivalvia, Mytilida, Mytilidae. The transcript has 3 exons. The record is from RefSeq and is a predicted model, not a curated record.